Molecule: RNA transcript, 1579 nt
Organism: Asterias rubens (European starfish)
Lineage: Eukaryota; Metazoa; Echinodermata; Asteroidea; Forcipulatida; Asteriidae
Gene name: E3 ubiquitin-protein ligase MYCBP2-like
Exons: 4
Source: RefSeq, a predicted model, not a curated record
UUGUUUUUUUUCUUACUAAUUCUGUAGAGUACGUUUCACAUAAAGUGCUGAAUUAUUCUUUUUCUUUAGUUUUGUCCGAGAUCAAGAGAAGACACCGCACCCCCAAGUAGAAGAUCAUGAAGUACCAGACUAUUUCUCAUGGAAGAAGCCAAAGCUUGCUCUAACAUCUGAUGAACUCAAGUGAGUCCGGAAACAAGUCUACAAGUGAAAGCUGAGACAAGACAGUGGCCACCUCUACACCCUACGCCUCUUCUUCCCGCCCUGCAAUCUUACCUGCACCAUUCCACUUGUACUACUUGCUGCUUUCCAUAUAGUCCAAGAGUCUCUGCGCCUCUGAUGACGCAUACAGCGUAUAGCCUUAAGUGGGAGUGUUGGCUCUGAAAAGAGCUGUUGUACUUUGCUCGUCUUCAGGAGAAUGCAGGACUACCGGUGGUGAUGGAGCUUGUGAGUUGGUUACUGGCUGGAUGUGCAGGUAACCUUAUUCCGGACUCGUGCAGGUGUGCCCCUUAUGCACAGCGCACACGUGAGAUUUGUCUUGCUAACCAGAGAAUGCUGAGGCAAAUUCUUACUCUACUAAAUUCAGACCGGACAUACCAGAGCAGCAGCACGUUUUCUGACCAUCAUGACGAAGAGGCCUACAUAGCGGACAAUGAGGAGACACCCCCAAAAGAAGUGCCAGAGAAUAACUUUGACAUGUCGCCAACAAAGAUUUUUGCUCUAAGGAAGACAAGCUCAUCCAUCCCCAACCUGGCACUGCUGUUGUCCGGCAACUUUUCACAGAAGAAGAAAUGGCUUCAUCCAAUUGCCGUGGAGUGAAAGGCAAACAGCAACUGGACAGCACACGAAUGAACUUUGUUAAAAAAGCUAUCGGUGCGUAUGCCCCAGUUUCACCUAGGUCCUAUGAUGUGUAUUGGAAAAAACAGUGUGUGUCAGCUAUAGAUGAAGGUUGUAGGAGGCUGAAGAGGUCAAAAGUAAAGUUGAAUUUAAGCUAGUUGCCCCUUUUUAUUAUAUCAACCACACUAUGAAUAAAUCUGUUACUCUCGAUAAUCGAAAAACUAUAAUUGUUUUAAUGCUUCUCAAAAGCGUAAAGCAUUUUAUGGAAUAAUAUUUCAACGGAAGUCUUUCACCAUUACCUUCUGUAGAUCUGUCUAGUAAAUUAUGGAUAUGAUGAGCUUUUCAAAGAAUUGUGGUUUCCUAAUUAUUGAUUCAACUACAAAAAUAAUUUCAUGUUAAUAGUUAUAUUUGAGUGGAACAAAUUUAGAUACUUGUUGUUUCUGUCGUUUUUAUUGUCUUCUGUGCCUUAAGCAUCUUAAAACUCUUGUAUUAUCGUUUCCUUUUUUUUAAUACGUUUUCAUUAUUACUGAUAGUUGCUGGCCUUAAUGAUCGUAUACAUUCAUUUGUUUUUCAACAAUAAUUUAUUCUUUAAGGGAAGCCAAUUUACUUUAAAUAGAUGUUUGUCUAGUACUGUAGAAUUUUCUUAAUAAAAUUUUUACAACUUCUAUACAGUUGUUUUUGUAUUUUAUAAUAAUAUAUUGUAUGUAUUCAAAAUGUGGGGGCUCAUGGUAAUGAUUUUGUUUUA